AUUUUACCAAUAGCGGAAAGUAAAGGCUUUCCUAGUUGGGACAGCAUAUAGGGAAACGUUAAGGAUUAUAGGCACCGGAGAGGUAACCCGGCUUGAGGGGUUGGUUAAAGGGAAAGGCGAGACUUAGGGCGAGACCGAGCGGGGCUAAUUGAGGCGACGCGGGGAGGGGCGGACCGCGGACUGGAUUUCGACUUCCAAAUUCCCACGAGGUAUAGGAGUCUGAGGGUUGCACAGGACGUUAUGCAUUGUUUGACUCCUCCAGAGCCUUUAGAGAAACUUCUAUCAGGCCCGCCUGCUAGGCACUAGUCGGGGAGAUAAUGUAGCCAGGGAGAUGUGGCGGACAGAAAGGGCAGAGAGGCUCUCUGAGGAGCGGAUGGAGGAUCGUGGGCCGCUUUACUGAGAAGGAAGAGACCCUGCGAGAAGGAGUAGUGUCGACUUGGUCCCGUCAGCCGGACCCCACCUGGCCGGCUGGGGCCACUUGUGGUCGCCGGGAGGGAAAAGAAACUAUCUGCAAAGGAAGAUUCUCAUGCACAGAUUGAAACCCUCUGAGAUAUCAACCCCCUAGGUAAG
Molecule: long non-coding RNA, 570 nt
Filed under: Pan troglodytes (chimpanzee)
Lineage: Eukaryota; Metazoa; Chordata; Mammalia; Primates; Hominidae
Description: long non-coding RNA NONPTRT003905
Source: RNAcentral